GACGAACGCUGGCGGCGUGCUUAACACAUGCAAGUCGAACGGAAAGGCCCUGCUUUUGUGGGGUGCUCGAGUGGCGAACGGGUGAGUAACACGUGAGUAACCUGCCCUUGACUUUGGGAUAACUUCAGGAAACUGGGGCUAAUACCGGAUAGGAGCUCCUGCUGCAUGGUGGGGGUUGGAAAGUUUCGGCGGUUGGGGAUGGACUCGCGGCUUAUCAGCUUGUUGGUGGGGUAGUGGCUUACCAAGGCUUUGACGGGUAGCCGGCCUGAGAGGGUGACCGGCCACAUUGGGACUGAGAUACGGCCCAGACUCCUACGGGAGGCAGCAGUGGGGAAUAUUGCACAAUGGGCGGAAGCCUGAUGCAGCAACGCCGCGUGCGGGAUGACGGCCUUCGGGUUGUAAACCGCUUUCGCCUGUGACGAAGCGUGAGUGACGGUAAUGGGUAAAGAAGCACCGGCUAACUACGUGCCAGCAGCCGCGGCGAUACGUAGGGUGCGAGCGUUGUCCGGAUUUAUUGGGCGUAAAGGGCUCGUAGGUGGUUGAUCGCGUCGGAAGUGUAAUCUUGGGGCUUAACCCUGAGCGUGCUUUCGAUACGGGUUGACUUGAGGAAGGUAGGGGAGAAUGGAAUUCCUGGUGGAGCGGUGGAAUGCGCAGAUAUCAGGAGGAACACCAGUGGCGAAGGCGGUUCUCUGGGCCUUUCCUGACGCUGAGGAGCGAAAGCGUGGGGAGCGAACAGGCUUAGAUACCCUGGUAGUCCACGCUGUAAACGGUGGGUACUAGGUGUGGGGUCCAUUCCACGGGUUCCGUGCCGUAGCUAACGCUUUAAGUACCCCGCCUGGGGAGUACGGCCGCAAGGCUAAAACUCAAAGGAAUUGACGGGGCCCCGCACAAGCGGCGGAGCAUGCGGAUUAAUUCGAUGCAACGCGUAGAACCUUACCUGGGUUUGACAUGGAUCGGGAGUGCUCAGAGAUGGGUGUGCCUCUUUUGGGGUCGGUUCACAGGUGGUGCAUGGCUGUCGUCAGCUCGUGUCGUGAGAUGUUGGGUUAAGUCCCGCAACGAGCGCAACCCUUGUUCACUGUUGCCAGCACGUUAUGGUGGGGACUCAGUGGAGACCGCCGGGGUCAACUCGGAGGAAGGUGGGGAUGACGUCAAGUCAUCAUGCCCCUUAUGUCCAGGGCUUCACGCAUGCUACAAUGGCUGGUACAGAGAGUGGCGAGCCUGUGAGGGUGAGCGAAUCUCGGAAAGCCGGUCUCAAUUCGGAUUGGGGUCUGCAACUCGACCUCAUGAAGUCGGAGUCGCUAGUAAUCGCAGAUCAGCAACGCUGCGGUGAAUACGUUCCCGGGGCU
This 1346-nucleotide ribosomal RNA is filed under the name uncultured bacterium. Its description in RNAcentral is "partial 16S ribosomal RNA". It matches the Rfam family "Bacterial small subunit ribosomal RNA", at positions 28 to 1381 of the family's 1533-position model. The record is from RNAcentral.